This 231-nucleotide non-coding RNA is filed under the name Stenotrophomonas chelatiphaga. The record is from RNAcentral. Lineage: Bacteria; Pseudomonadati; Pseudomonadota; Gammaproteobacteria; Lysobacterales; Lysobacteraceae.
UACCUUGUGCUCGCCGAAGGUAUUCAUCUCUUCAUGCGAAUGAAAGGAUGGAUUUAAACGGGAAUCCGGUGACCGUGCCCCGUGCACGUAUUCCGGAGCUGCCCCGCAGCGGUGAAUGGAAACGACCUCCGCCAACAGCACUGGGCCACGGCCUGGGAAGCGGCGGACACUAGGUGGGCGGCAACGCCCGUGUCCAACAGCCCGAAUACCGGCCCCGGCCGGAGGACCUGC